This 37-nucleotide ribosomal RNA is filed under the name Piper betle. Its description in RNAcentral is "partial 28S ribosomal RNA". The record is from RNAcentral. Lineage: Eukaryota; Viridiplantae; Streptophyta; Magnoliopsida; Piperales; Piperaceae. RNAcentral also lists the same sequence under 2 other names.
CAACCCCAAGUCAGGUGGGACUACCCGCCGAGCUUAA